This 235-nucleotide long non-coding RNA is filed under the name Carica papaya (papaya). RNAcentral describes it as "long non-coding RNA (CPAP_LNC007752)". Lineage: Eukaryota; Viridiplantae; Streptophyta; Magnoliopsida; Brassicales; Caricaceae. The record is from RNAcentral.
GACAGUGUAUGAGAACAGCCCGUUUCACUUUCAUACCGGACAGAGUAUCGAGGGAUGCCAUUUUUGGCGCUCAUACCGAAUAGGGUAUGGGGACAGCCAAAUAAUUGACAAGUUUAGAUAUUGGGUUCACGCGUAAGGGGAUAUCCCUAUGGACUCCCAAAGGUACUAGUAAGCAGAUAAAAAAUGAAAAAUUGUUCUUCUUACUCAUUUGUAUAAGAAAUCAUAAUGUUAUUUG